GGGUGAUGAUCGUUGUUGGGUCGUCCAUUGACAUUUUUUACUGGCCACCACCCGAGCACCCGACCACAGGCACUAUGGUAGUGGUGGUGGCACCUACAGUUGCCAGUCACGGCCACAAGGCACCUCGGGCCAGGGUGAUGUACCCCAGCUGGCCAACUCACGCCAGGCAAAGCAGGGGUGGUGGAAUGUGUGCAUCAUGUUCAUGGCGGCUGCGGAGCGGGACUUGGCCAUGACGGGCGGCGGACACAACCUCUGGCCCACCUCGCUGCCACCCACCACCUGCGGCAGCUCCUGCAACACACCCUCCGCCACACUGAGCCAGCCAGGCCCUCCAGGCACAUUUCUGCGGCCUCCAGGGGCACGUGACGCCACACACGUCCCUCUGACACUGACCUGGGCUGGCUUAAGGUCUUGUAGGGUUCACUAGAGAUAUUCCAGGAUAAAACAAGGGGUGAGGGGGUGGGUUGUGUGUGUUGCGGGGACAGAGUGGUGGGUGCAGGGCGCAUGCGUGGAGCCGCGGCCACGGGAGUCGCCGUCUAGCCGCCGCCACACCGGACUGUGUGAUAUGUUGGUCGCACCCCCACCACACACCACAUCACCACUCCCCACGCCGCUCUUGUCACCACACAACGUCGCUCUCCGUGCUGGAACCACUGUUUUGUGCCUUGCAGUUCCGUGUAGUGCUUUAUUUGUGAUGAAAAUGACGGAUAUAUAGUGGCCCACCUGACGGCCCUUGUCAGCCAUGGCGGGUCGUAUUGUGAUCUGUAGCUACGGUGCUUUCCUCAUAACCAAUUUAUAAACUCAUUAAGUGGCUCGAUAUAUCUCAGUGGUGCUUACAUUAUAAUCUUGAUCAGUGCACGUCAAUAAUCUUGAUUUUAUUUCUUCUAUGGAGCGCUGCAUGAGGCCGCGCGUGUGGUCACGUCGGCGCAGCGGUGGUGACUGGUCGGGGCGGCGACAUGGACUGGCGGGACGGGGGAUUGUGGGUAACUGAGCGAGCCGGGGAGUCGCCGAGCCCGCACGAGCCCCGUGAUGUCAUCACUGCUGCCUGACCUGCGCUACCCUAUUGGCUCGCAGGCCGCCAGAAAGCGAUGGCGUCACCGUGUCGUCACUGAUACAUCACUUGCAGCAGGGCGGAGUGUGAUCGGGAGGCGGGUGUCAGUGCCGGCCCGGGCCGCUCCUCUGCUGCACAGCGGUGUGCACCGCGGCGCCGCACCCGGCCGGGCACGUGCGUCUGCCGCGCCUCCACCACACACCCUCACUUCACACUUGGGGUCACGCAGGACGACACUUUUCCGAGCUACUCAAUGGCGCUAAACUACACUUCAAACUAAAGGGGAAGAUCCUUUUCUCCCUUUUAAGGAUAAAGAGCGAUAUUUCAUGUAGUACAGUGUUGCUAAGGUCGAUAGUCGCGUGCUAUGGGGAGGAACAGCGGGGUGCGUGUCUGCGCUUCUCACGCCACACAGGCAGACACUCAGCAUCAUGCUCGUGUGUCAGCCGUGAAUAACAGUGGCCGGUUUUAUUUAAUGGGUAUUGCCACUGGUUUGUGUUUCCCAGCCACAUAGGCCCUGGGACACACACACGCCCACGCUAACGCGUCACGCUUUGCUACAUGAUAAGAAUAGUAUUACCUUAUCCGCACAGCAUCACACACACAUAUACACACCACGCGGAUGUGAGGGAUGGCCGCGCUGCCUGACUCCUCACAUCCAUUCCUCCCUCCCUCCCUCCUUGCCACUCGCCCUCUCCCUACUCUCCUCUUGGUCCAAAUCAAUCACCUGUGUCGCCAGCCAGCACAGGUGUGGGAUGGGACACACACACACACUAUAUAUAUAUAUAUAUAUAUAUAUAUAUAUAUAUAUAUAUAUAUAUAUAUAUAUAUAUAUAUAUAUAUAUACUUGAGGUAGGAGGGAAAAAAGGGACCCAUGUGGUGAAAUGGAAGCACGGCGUAAAAAAGAGAAUGAGCUCGUUAGUAGAAUGGCGAAUUAGAAUAACCGAGGAGAGGGCCAUGUUAUGUAUCCUUUUCUGCUAUAUGUAUGAUGACGUAGUUAAUUAGGUCAUUACUCUCUCUCUCUCUCUCUCUCUCUCUCUCUCUCUCUCUCUCUCUCUCUCUCUCUCUCUCUCUC
Long non-coding RNA from Portunus trituberculatus (swimming crab), 2123 nucleotides. RefSeq lists it as uncharacterized. The transcript has 2 exons. Lineage: Eukaryota; Metazoa; Arthropoda; Malacostraca; Decapoda; Portunidae. The record is from RefSeq and is a predicted model, not a curated record.